UUUCCUUUGAUCUUCCAAUAGAGGGUUAAGAAUGGUGGACUCGUACGUCUUUAGAUUCCCCCGGAGUCCGUCUAUAGUGAUGUUGGUGAUGCCAAUUGACUCUUGAAUGGCAUCGGCUUUUGAACGCCACUCUGGAGUGAGGCUCCGCAGGAUUUUUUGUACAAGCUCCUUGUCCGUGUACGUCUUCUUGAGUGCGUGGAGGUCGUUGACAAUUUUUGAAAAUCGUUCAAACAUGUCGUCGAUUUUCUCGUUCUCCUGUCCGUGUACGUCUUCUUGAGUGCGUGGAGGUCGUUGACAAUUUUUGAAAAUCGUUCAAACAUGUCUUCGAUUUUCUCGUUCUCCUUCGUACGAAAUAAUUUAUAUUCAUGGGUUAGAAAAUAAAUUUUAGCCUCUCGGACUUGGUCCGUACCUUCGUAGGUGACUUCUAGCUUCUCCCACAUUUGCUUGGCCGUGGUGCAACAUGAAAUCCUCCGAUAAUCAUCGGGGUUUACUGCAUAGUACAACAUGUUGAUGGCCUUAGCAUUAUUCUCCACCUUUUUGAUGUCCUCUGCAUCAUAUUCGUUCUCCGUCUUUAGGACGACUUUAUCC
This 588-nucleotide long non-coding RNA is filed under the name Nicotiana benthamiana. RNAcentral describes it as "long non-coding RNA (NBEN_LNC004910)". Lineage: Eukaryota; Viridiplantae; Streptophyta; Magnoliopsida; Solanales; Solanaceae. The record is from RNAcentral.